GGACUUCGGUCCAUUUGGUCAAUUUGAAACGAUACAGAGAAGAUUAGCAUGGCCCCUGCACUAAGGAUGACACGCUUUAUCAAAGAGACGCAAACCGUUUUU
Molecule: small nuclear RNA, 102 nt
Filed under: Cyphellophora attinorum
Lineage: Eukaryota; Fungi; Ascomycota; Eurotiomycetes; Chaetothyriales; Cyphellophoraceae
Source: RNAcentral